This 757-nucleotide ribosomal RNA is filed under the name uncultured archaeon. RNAcentral's name for it is "bacterial SSU rRNA". It matches the Rfam family "Archaeal small subunit ribosomal RNA", at positions 102 to 859 of the family's 1478-position model. The record is from RNAcentral.
GGAUAAUCUACCCUUAGGACUGGGAUAACCCCGGGAAACUGGGGCUAAUACCGGAUAGGCAAUUAUUCCUGCAAUGGUUUUUUGUUUAAAUGUUUUUUCGCCUAAGGAUGAGUCUGCGGCCGAUUAGGUAGUUGGUUAGGUAAUGGCUUACCAAGCCGUUGAUCGGUACGGGUUGUGAGAGCAAGAGCCCGGAGAUGGAACCUGAGACAAGGUUCCAGGCCCUACGGGGUGCAGCAGGCGCGAAACCUCCGCAAUGUGAGAAAUCGCGACGGGGGGAUCCCAAGUGCCAUUCUUAACGGGAUGGCUUUUCAUUAGUGUAAAGAGCUUUUGGAAUAAGAGCUGGGCAAGACCGGUGCCAGCCGCCGCGGUAACACCGGCAGCCCUAGUGGUAACAAUUUUUAUUGGGCCUAAAGCGUCCGUAGCCGGUUUAAUAAGUCUCUGGUGAAAUCCUGUAGCUUAACUGUGGGAAUUGCUGGAGAUACUAUUAGACUUGAGACCGGGAGAGGUUAGAGGUACUCCCAGGGUAGAGGUGAAAUUCUGUAAUCCUGGGAGGACCGCCUGUUGCGAAGGCGUCUAACUGGAACGGUUCUGACGGUGAGGGACGAAAGUUAGGGGCGCGAACCGGAUUAGAUACCCGGGUAGUCCUAACUGUAAACGAUGCGGACUUGGUGUUGGGGUGGCUUUGAGCUGCUCCAGUGCCGAAGGGAAGCUGUUAAGUCCGCCGCCUGGGAAGUACGGUCGCAAGACUGAAACUUAA